CAAACAUUAGCGGUCACUCAAACAGUAGCACCAACUGAGACCACAAUAGUAGCACCAACGUUAGCGGUUAAAAAAACAGUAGCACCAACUGAGAGUACAACUACAGCACAAACAGUAGCGGUGACUGAAACAAUAGCACCAACAGAAAAAGUGACUACGACAGUAGCACAAACACUAACAGAAAAUGAAACGGUAGCGCCAACUGAGACUACGACAGUAGCACCAACAUUAGAUGUGACUAAAACAUCAGGACUAACUGAGACUACAACCGUAGCGCAAACAUUAGCGGUGACUGAAACAGUAGCACCAACUGAGACUAUGACAGUAGCAAAAACAUUCGCGGUCACUGAAACAGUAGCACCAACUGAGACUACGAUAAUAGCGCAAACAUUAGCAGUGAUUGAAACAAUAGCACCAACUGAAAAAGAGAGUAUGACAGUAGCACAGACACUAACAGAAAAUGAAACAUUAGCACCAGCUAAGACUACAACAGUAGCACAAACAUUAGUGGUCACUGAAACAGUAGCACCAACUGAGACUACGAUAGUAGCACCAACGUUAGCGGUUAAAGAAACAAUAGCACCAACUGAGAGUACAACUACAGCACAAACAGAAGCGGUGAUUGAAACAAUACCAACAACUAAAAAAGUGACUAUGACAGUAGCACAAACACUAACAAAAUAUGAAACUUUAGCACCAACUAAGACUACGCUAGUAGCACCAACAUUAGAUGUGACUAAAACAUCAGGACUAACUGAGACUACAACCGUAGCGCAAACAUUAGCGGUGACUGAAACAGUAGCACCAACUGAGACUAUGACAGUAGCAAAAACAUUCGCGGUCACUGAAACAGUAGCACCAACUGAGACUACGAUAAUAGCGCAAACAUUAGCAGCGAUUGAAACAAUAGCACCAACUGAAAAAGAGAGUAUGACAGUAGCACAGACACUAACAGAAAAUGAAACAUUAGCACCAGCUAAGACUACAACAGUAGCACAAACAAUAGCGGAGACUGAAACAGUAGCACAAACCUUAGCGGUCACUGAAACAGUAGCACAGACAUUAGCGGAGACUGAAACAGUAGCACAAACAUUAGUGGUCACUGAAACAGUAGCACCAACUGAGACUACGAUAGUAGCACCAACGUUAGCGGUUAAAGAAACGGUAGCACCAACUGAGACUAUGACAGUAGCACAAACAUUCGCGGUCACUGAAACAGUAGCACCAACUGAGACUACGAUAGUAGCACCAACUUUAGCGGUUAAAGAAACAGUAGCACCAACUGAGAGUACAACUACAGCACAAACAUUAUCGGUCACUGAAACAGUAGCAACAACUGGAAAAGGGAUUACGACAAUAGCACAGGCACUAACAGAAAAUGAAACAUUGGCAUCAACUGAGACUACGAUAGUAGCACCAACGUUAGCGGUUAAAGAAACAAUAGCACCAACUGAGAGUACAACUACAGCACAAACAGUAGUAGUGACUGAAACAGUAGCACCAACUAAGACUACAACAGUAGCACAAACAUUAGCGGCCACUAAAACAGUAGCACCAACUGAGACUACGAUAGUAACACCAACGUUAGCGGUUAAAGAAACAGUAGCACCAACUGAGAGUACAACUACAGCACAAACAGAAGCGGUGAUUGAAACAAUAGCAACAACUGAAAAAGUGACUAUGACAGUAGCACAAACACUAACAAAAUAUGAAACGUUAGCACCAACUAAGACUACGCUAGUAGCACCAACAUUAGAUGUGACUAAAACAUCAGGACUAACUGAGACUACAACCGUAGCACUAACAUUAGCGGUGACUGAAACAGUAGCACCAACUGAGACUAUGACAGUAGCACAAACAAUAGCGGAGACUGAAACAGUAGCACAAACCUUAGCGGUCACUGAAACAGUAGCACAAACAUUAGCGGAGACUGAAACAGUCGCACAAACAUUAACGUUCACUGAAACAGUAGCACCAACUGAGACUACGACAGUAGCACCAACGUUAUCGGUGAUUGAAACAAUAGCAACAACUGAAAAAGUGACUACAACAGUUGCACAAACACUAACACAAAAUGAAACAUUAGCACCAACUAAAACGACGAUAGUAGGACCAACGUUAGCCGUGAUUAAAACAAUAGCAACAACAGAAACAGGGACUAGGACGAUAGCACCAACAUUAGCUGUGACUAAAACAGCAGGAUCAACUGAGCUUAUAACCGUAGCACAAACAUUUGCAGUCACUGAAACGGUAGCACCAGCUGAGACUACAACAGUAGCACCAACGUUGGUGGUUAAAGAAACAAUAACAUCAACUGAGAGCACAACUACAGCACAAACAGUAGCGAUGACUGAAACAGUAGCACCAACUAAGACUACGACAGUAGCACAGACAUUAGAGGUGACUGAAACAAUAACACUAACUGGGACAGUAGUACCAUUGUUAGCAGUGACUGAAACAAAAGCACCAAAUGAAAAAGAGACUAUGACAGUAGCACAGACACUAACAGAAAAUAAAACAUUGGCACCAGCUGAGACUACGAUAGUCGCACCAACAUUAGUGGUUAAAGAAACAAUAGCACCAACUGAGAUUACAACAACAAUACAAACAUUAGCAGCAAUCGCAACAACCGAAACAGGGACUACAUUAGUAGCACCAACAUUAGCUGUGGCUAAAACAGCAGGUUCCACUGAGACUACAACCGUAGCACAAACAUUAGCGGUGACUGAAACAGUAGCACCAACUGAGACUACAGCAGUGUCACCAACGUUAGCCGUAAUUGAAACAAUAGCAACAACUGAAAAAGGGACUACAACAGUAGCACAAACACUAACAGAAAAUGAAAUAUUGGCACCAACUGAAUCUACGACAGUAGCACAAACUUUAGCGGUGACUAAAAAAGUAGCAACAAUUGACACAGGGAUUGUGACAGAAUAUAAAACAGUUGUACCAAAUGAGACUACAAGAGCAGCACCAACAUUAGCCGUAAAUGAAACCGUAGCACCAACUGAGACUACGACAGUAGCACAAACAUUAGUGGUCACUCAAACAGUAGCAACAAUUGAGAAAGAAAUUACAAAAGUAGCGGUAACACUCACCGAAAAUGAAUCAGUGGCACUAACUGAAAUUGAGACUACGACACUAGCACCAACUGAGACUACGACAGUAGCACCAACGUUAGCUGUGAUUGAAACAAUAGAAACAACUGAAAAAGGGACUAUGACAGUACCACAAACACUAACAAAAAAUGAAACAUUGGCACCAACUAUGACAAUGACAGUAGCACCAACAAUAGCGGUGUAUGAAACAGUAGUAACAAUUGAGAAAGGAAUUACAAAAGUAGCGCCAACACUCACUGAAAAUGAAUCAGUAGCACCAACUGAGACUACGACAGUAGCACCAACGUUAGCUGUGAUUGAAACAAUAGAAACAACUGAAAAAGGGACUAUGACAGUACCACAAACACUAACAAAAAAUGAAACAUUGGCACCAACUAUGACAAUGACAGUAGCACCAACAAUAGCGGUGUAUGAAACAGUAGUAACAAUUGAGAAAGGAAUUACAAAAGUAGCGCCAACACUCACUGAAAAUGAAUCAGUAGCACCAACUGAGACUACGACGGUAGCAUCAACUGAGACUACGACAGUAGCCCCAUCAUUAGCGUUGAAUGAAUCGGCAGCCCCAACGCCCUCAGGGAAUGUUACUGCUGUUGCUGUAACUCCAACUCCGGCAGUAGUGGCAACAAUGGCACUGACCAGCAUCACAGCAGUGCCUCUCAUGGAAAGUGUAAACUGGGACGGCUGUUCAGUAACUCGACUUUGUGUACAUGAGCCACCCGGCUGUGACCCCAGUUCAAAUGCAAGAUGUUUGUUCAUGUCCGCUGAACAACAGAUUGGCCGAAACUUUUCAAUUGACCUUUCAGGGCAUUCAAUCGGCUACAUUGCUGCUACAUUUUCUACUGACGACUCUCUGGUAAGUAUAUAGUCUCAACUGAUGGCUAACAUCUGUUUCUCAGUCUUUCAAAGAAAAUAUUAAUCAGAAUCAUUACAGGGAGGUCACGACGUGACCUACAUAUGUGCAGCUGAUGGCAGUACAGUGGUGUUUAUCACUGCAACACUUCAUAAUGACUUCUUGAUAUUGACACUGGUGAGUUCUGCUUUCUUCAUUUAUAGUGCUGUAUUUACACAAUUCAUUUCCAUAAAACAAAAAAACAAAAACUGAGAAGCAUAAGACACAUGUA
Gouania willdenowi (blunt-snouted clingfish) is the source of this 4240-nucleotide long non-coding RNA. The record is from Ensembl. Lineage: Eukaryota; Metazoa; Chordata; Actinopteri; Blenniiformes; Gobiesocidae.